GACGAACGCUGGCGGCGUGCCUAACACAUGCAAGUCGAGCGGGGGAAGGUAGCUUGCUACCGGACCUAGCGGCGGACGGGUGAGUAAUGCUUAGGAAUCUGCCUACUAGUGGGGGACAACAUCUCGAAAGGGAUGCUAAUACCGCAUACGUCCUACGGGAGAAAGCAGGGGAUCUUCGGACCUUGCGCUAAUAGAUGAGCCUAAGUCGGAUUAGCUAGUUGGUGGGGUAAAGGCCUACCAAGGCGACGAUCUGUAGCGGGUCUGAGAGGAUGAUCCGCCACACUGGGACUGAGACACGGCCCAGACUCCUACGGGAGGCAGCAGUGGGGAAUAUUGGACAAUGGGGGGAACCCUGAUCCAGCCAUGCCGCGUGUGUGAAGAAGGCCUUAUGGUUGUAAAGCACUUUAAGCGAGGAGGAGGCUACUUUAGUUAAUACCUAGAGAUAGUGGACGUUACUCGCAGAAUAAGCACCGGCUAACUCUGUGCCAGCCGCCGCCGUAA
RNAcentral lists this ribosomal RNA (501 nucleotides) under uncultured bacterium. Its description in RNAcentral is "partial 16S ribosomal RNA". It matches the Rfam family "Bacterial small subunit ribosomal RNA", at positions 28 to 523 of the family's 1533-position model. The record is from RNAcentral.